This 429-nucleotide ribosomal RNA is filed under the name Pseudomonadota bacterium. Its description in RNAcentral is "Proteobacteria bacterium partial 16S ribosomal RNA". It matches the Rfam family "Bacterial small subunit ribosomal RNA", at positions 355 to 776 of the family's 1533-position model. Lineage: Bacteria; Pseudomonadati; Pseudomonadota. The record is from RNAcentral.
UGGGGAAUAUUGGACAAUGGGCGAAAGCCUGAUCCAGCCAUGCCGCGUGUGUGAAGAAGGUCUUCGGAUUGUAAAGCACUUUAAGUUGGGAGGAAGGGCAGUAAGCGAAUACCUUGCUGUUUUGACGUUACCGACAGAAUAAGCACCGGCUAACUCUGUGCCAGCAGCCGCGGUAAUACAGAGGGUGCAAGCGUUAAUCGGAAUUACUGGGCGUAAAGCGCGCGUAGGUGGUUCGUUAAGUUGAAUGUGAAAGCCCCGGGCUCAACCUAGGAACUGCAUCCAAAACUGGCGAGCUAGAGUAGGGCAGAGGGUGGUGGAAUUUCCUGUGUAGCGGUGAGAUGCGUAGAUAUAGGAAGGAACACCAGUGGCGAAGGCGACCACCUGGGCUCAUACUGACACUGAGGUGCGAAAGCGUGGGGAGCAAACAGG